Molecule: long non-coding RNA, 408 nt
Filed under: Numida meleagris (helmeted guineafowl)
Lineage: Eukaryota; Metazoa; Chordata; Aves; Galliformes; Numididae
Description: lncRNA (ENSNMEG00000016788.1)
Source: RNAcentral
AUGUCUGCAUUAGUUAUGAUCACUGGGACAACCCUGAAAAUACACAUCACAGUAACUGCACGCAGCGAUGCCUGCAUGUAUUUGCAGAAUGCAGGGCAGACUUCUAAGGAGCUUGCUCUACCUCGCACACAUCAGCAGAUGUCAAGUGACAAUAUGUCAGCUGUCAACGUUAUGAACUCACUGCUCAUCAGGACACAGAAGAGAGAAGGACUGGAUCCUUCCUUUGCACCAAAGGAUUUGAGAACUAAAUUGUGGAAAAAGCGUAUUACAGAAGUUAAUUUUAUGACAGACACGAACCAGAGGCACAAGCAAAUGUGGCAUGCAGGGCUCGUCCUGGCGAUGCUGACCAGAGCAUCUUUGACCAGUACAACAGUGAACUCAAAGCACACGGCUCAGGAUCUUGAGUGA